GCCAGUCGUCCUUCCUUUCGGGUCUCUCGAGUUCUAGGCUGAGAAGAAAAGUGGCCUCCUGUACAGCUUCGCCUUCUGGAGCCUCAGGCGGAACCGGGACUGCUGGGAAGCUGUGCGGGGGCGGGUCCAGGAAGCCCUGGCAACGGAGAUCUUCCCGGACGAGACAGAGCGACCGUUACUUCCCGGGCUGCUGUGGGUCUGGUGUCUGGCUCUGUGGCCCCGGGCUGCAGGGACAAAAGUGGCUGGUCUUCUAAGAGCACCAAGCUCAGCAAAGCCACCCGCUGCUGACAGGACCCAUGCGUUCAUUCCUACUCUUCUUUUGGUCUCACAAGAGCCACACUGCCCUUGGAAUGGGCGUCAAGUCACAGCUCGGCGCUUUCAUUUAGUCUUCUGCCAUCUCUGCCUGCUUUUCGGCCAUUUUCAUCCGAAGUGUGGAUCUGAAGCAAAGAAUCUAGAGAAGUUUCCUUCAUCUGGUUAUUAUUAUUUGCUGAAUUUUUUAAAAGAAACUUUUUAAUACAUUCUUCUUUGCUACAUUGUUCUAUAUGUAAUAAUUCAUUUGAAUUCCCUCAAAGGAACCACAUAGGAAAUGCCAGAUAAGCCCCUUUAAGAAGAAUGACGUGGGGUGCAAUGUUAGGUUGCCCUUGGCGUCAGAUAGCCUGGGUUCUGGGCCCAGUGUCCCCGCUUAGUAGCUACUGUGUGACCUAGAAGGAGAUUGGGCCAGUCUCCUUCAUAUACGUCCUUCUAAUUUAUUCCUGAAAUUACCUCAUUUGUUCUCUUGUUCACUUUCGGUCUCCCCACUCUAGAGACAUUGGCUUCUCAAGAGUGGGGGGACUCCUUCAGGGCUGUUCGCUGCAUUUAUAGAGCACAGACGAUUGACUCCCUGCCCUUGCUGGGCCUCAGUUUCCUCAAACACAAAUAGGCAUAAUAACAAUCCCUACCCACCUCAUGUUAAAUGGGCUUAAUACAUGCAGAAUGCACAGAACAGUGUCUGUCAUGUGGUAAAUCCUCAAGGAACAAUGAAUAAGGAUUAAAUUCUGCAUCCUCCCACAUGACUGAGAAAAGCCUGGUAGGAAAUCAGGUUAAUGGAGAGAAAAGACAGAGGGAUGAGAGCAGCUCGAAGGAGAUGAUCAUUUCUGCAGACACAGAACCCAAGUUGCCGUGUGAAAUGCUGUGUGGGUGAGCACAUGGAUGGCAUGCUGAUCACAUUUCCAGGCCACCAUGGGGCAGAAGUAGAGCUAAUAGACUGGAUGAAAGAAGAAUGAGCCAGAGCAAUGCCGACAGUCUGCAAAGCCAGGUCAAGUCAAGCAACCUGGAGCAUAACAGAGAAAUGCAAAGUCCAGCCCUUGGGUCCGGACAACAAGUUACACAACGAUGGCAGCAUCAUUGUAUGAGAUGCAGAGUUUGCUGUGGACUUGGGCCUAUACUGUACUUUGUUUAUAACUGUGAUUUUUACAAGGACAGAGUGAGGAGG
Long non-coding RNA from Symphalangus syndactylus (siamang), 1471 nucleotides. RefSeq lists it as uncharacterized. Lineage: Eukaryota; Metazoa; Chordata; Mammalia; Primates; Hylobatidae. The record is from RefSeq and is a predicted model, not a curated record.